This 253-nucleotide ribosomal RNA is filed under the name uncultured bacterium. RNAcentral describes it as "partial 16S ribosomal RNA". It matches the Rfam family "Bacterial small subunit ribosomal RNA", at positions 524 to 776 of the family's 1533-position model. The record is from RNAcentral.
UACGUAGGGGGCAAGCGUUGUCCGGAUUUAUUGGGCGUAAAGAGCGUGUAGGCGGCCAGGUAGGUCAGCUGUGAAAACUCGAGGCUCAACCUCGAGACGCCGAUGGAAACCAUCAGACUAGAGUCCGGAAGAGGAGAGUGGAAUUCCUGGUGUAGCGGUGAAAUGCGCAGAUAUCAGGAAGAACACCCGUGGCUAAGGCGGCUCUCUAGUACGGUACUGACGCUGAGACGCGAAAGCGUGGGGAGCGAACAGG